RNAcentral lists this ribosomal RNA (253 nucleotides) under uncultured bacterium. Its description in RNAcentral is "partial 16S ribosomal RNA". It matches the Rfam family "Bacterial small subunit ribosomal RNA", at positions 524 to 776 of the family's 1533-position model. The record is from RNAcentral.
UACGUAGGGUGCAAGCGUUAAUCGGAAUUACUGGGCGUAAAGCGUGCGCAGGCGGUUGUGCAAGGCAGAUGUGAAAUCCCCGGGCUCAACCUGGGAACUGCAUUUGUGACUGCACGGCUGGAGUGCGGCAGAGGGGGAUGGAAUUCCGCGUGUAGCAGUGAAAUGCGUAGAUAUGCGGAGGAACACCGAUGGCGAAGGCAAUCCCCUGGGCCUGCACUGGCGCUCAUGCACGAAAGCGUGGGGAGCAAACAGG